Long non-coding RNA from Cydia pomonella (codling moth), 684 nucleotides. RefSeq lists it as uncharacterized. The transcript is spliced from 2 exons. The record is from RefSeq and is a predicted model, not a curated record. NCBI's taxonomy places the organism in Eukaryota, Metazoa, Arthropoda, Insecta, Lepidoptera, Tortricidae.
UAUUAUUACUUUCGGGUUACUAAAAGGGGAACGAAAAUUUGAUUAUUUUUACGCUACGACGCACGGCUUAGGAGAUACAGCCCUAUAAAGAUUUCUGCAUGACUGAAAAAAAACCUAACCUUUGAAUCCCUGAAAUAAUAUUUAACAAACACAAAAAAGAAAAAAAAAAACAAAAUGGCAGAACAGGCUGACGCAACUAGGAACAAAAUAAGUUUUGUAUGGAACUUGUUUCGCAAAUCUUUGCCAACGAAGAAAAAUAAAACGUCAGUGCUAUUUAUUCUGUCAAGUUUACAUCAAGUCAACUGUCAGCCUAAUUGUUUUGUUUGUUAUGAAGGCUUCAAUGUUUUGUUCGGGUAUUUCGUGCAAUUUCUUUAAUAUUUAGUGAAAAUAUCGAAAAUAGUGAACCGUGAUCAGAAUAAAGAACGAGUUUGUUACAAUGCCACCGAGAAAACGGUUUACUAAGUGUGAAAUAUGUGGCAAGCGAGUCACUCGAGAAAAUCAUGAAAAAAGGGAUUUUAUGGCGAAAUUUCCCUUGGAUAAAGACCGAUGCAGGCAGUGGGUUGAAAUUGUUGGGAACGAAGACCUGAUACAUCUUCCCAUAGAAAAGUUACAUUUAUUGAAACAUGUAUCUGCAGAUCAUUUUGAAAAUAGUGCUUUUAAUAAAAAAAAAAUUAAGAAAAAAAA